This 630-nucleotide ribosomal RNA is filed under the name Triticum aestivum (bread wheat). RNAcentral describes it as "partial small subunit ribosomal RNA". Lineage: Eukaryota; Viridiplantae; Streptophyta; Magnoliopsida; Poales; Poaceae. The record is from RNAcentral.
AUGCCUGUGAGUUAUGCAAACCUGAAAAACUCUGAUUGGGAGUUCAUUGUGAGUAAAUACCUGAAGAGAUUCGAGACCUGGAUAGGUAAUGCGGCUUCGAUGGGUGGGAGACAUACCCUGCUAGAUUCCGUGGUUACACAAAUCUCUCUGUAUCAUAUGUCGAUGUGGCUUAUGAAUAAAACUUUUAUUGAGAAACUGGAUAAACACAGAAGGAGAUUCUUCUGGCAAGGGUGUAAUAAUAAAAGGAGAUACCACCUUAUGAGAUGGAGUAGAAUUUGCAGAUCCAAGGAUAAGGGAGGUCUGGGUAUCAAAGAUCCGCGUAAACAAAACAUUAGCUUAAUGGUUAAAUGGUGGUGGAAACUUGAAACGCAAAAAGGACUCUGGCAGGAUAUUGUCCGGGCCAGAUACCUUCGCAACAAAACUGUUACGGAUGUUACUGCCAGAUUUUCUGACUCACCUUGCUGGAAAUCUUUGCUAAAAGUAAAAAAUGUAUAUAUGUUGGGCAGAAAAAUAGAAACAAAAAAGGAGACAUCACUAGGCUGUGGAAAGACUCGAUUAAUGGGUCUCCUUCUCUUCAGGAUCAAUUCCCUCAGUUGUUUGAUAUCUGUGGUUUUCCAGAUUGUAAUGUGA